CAAUCCCUGCGUGACUGGCGAUAGGGUUCCGAAGUGGCGGCUGCAAGCCGGCUAUUGGGGACUCAAGGUGGAACGACCCACCGUGAAGCGCAGGGUGCCGUUUUGCCGUUCGCCUGGGCAGCCGAU
This 126-nucleotide non-coding RNA is filed under the name Paraburkholderia unamae. RNAcentral's name for it is "ZMP-ZTP". It matches the Rfam family "ZMP/ZTP riboswitch aptamer (pfl RNA motif)". From Rfam's summary of the family: Previously known as pfl RNA. Lineage: Bacteria; Pseudomonadati; Pseudomonadota; Betaproteobacteria; Burkholderiales; Burkholderiaceae. The record is from RNAcentral.